Mycetomoellerius zeteki is the source of this 80-nucleotide long non-coding RNA. RefSeq lists it as uncharacterized. The transcript is spliced from 3 exons. NCBI's taxonomy places the organism in Eukaryota, Metazoa, Arthropoda, Insecta, Hymenoptera, Formicidae. The record is from RefSeq and is a predicted model, not a curated record.
UAAGAAAUAGUAAAAAAUUUUUCAAUUUCGAAAUUUUUUGUCGUUUUCGACAUAAACUCCACUUCACAAAUACUUAUUAA